This 84-nucleotide transfer RNA is filed under the name Felis catus (domestic cat). It matches the Rfam family "tRNA". Rfam says of the family: Transfer RNA (tRNA) molecules are approximately 80 nucleotides in length. Their secondary structure includes four short double-helical elements and three loops (D, anti-codon, and T loops). Further hydrogen bonds mediate the characteristic L-shaped molecular structure. tRNAs have two regions of fundamental functional importance: the anti-codon, which is responsible for specific mRNA codon recognition, and the 3' end, to which the tRNAs corresponding amino acid is attached (by aminoacyl-tRNA synthetases). tRNAs cope with the degeneracy of the genetic code in two manners: having more than one tRNA (with a specific anti-codon) for a particular amino acid; and 'wobble' base-pairing, i.e. permitting non-standard base-pairing at the 3rd anti-codon position. The record is from Rfam by way of RNAcentral. Lineage: Eukaryota; Metazoa; Chordata; Mammalia; Carnivora; Felidae.
GCCUGGGUGGCUCAGUUGUUGAGCAUCCGACUUCAGCUCAGAUCAUGAUCUCAUGGUUCAUGGGUUCAAGUCCCACGUCAGGCU